GACGAACGCUGGCGGCGUGCUUAACACAUGCAAGUCGAACGGUGACGGAGAGCUUGCUCUCCUGAUCAGUGGCGAACGGGUGAGUAACACGUGGGCAACCUGCCCCAGACUUCGGGAUAACGCUUCGAAAGAGGUGCUAAUACCGAAUACGAACGCCGUGGGCAUCCACGGUGUUGGAAAGUUUUUCGGUCUGGGAUGGGCCCGCGGCCUAUCAGCUUGUUGGUGAGGUAAUGGCUCACCAAGGCGACGACGGGUAGCCGGCCUGAGAGGGCGACCGGCCACACUGGGACUGAGACACGGCCCAGACUCCUACGGGAGGCAGCAGUGGGGAAUAUUGCGCAAUGGGCGAAAGCCUGACGCAGCAACGCCGCGUGGGGGAUGAAGGCCUUCGGGUUGUAAACCUCUUUCAGCAGGGAAGAAGCGAAAGUGACGGUACCUGCAGAAGAAGCACCGGCUAACUACGUGCCAGCAGCCGCGGUAAU
RNAcentral lists this ribosomal RNA (482 nucleotides) under uncultured bacterium. RNAcentral's name for it is "bacterial SSU rRNA". It matches the Rfam family "Bacterial small subunit ribosomal RNA", at positions 28 to 524 of the family's 1533-position model. The record is from RNAcentral.